CACGCCCUAAACGAUGCCUACUAGGUCGUAGAAGUUCUGACACUUUUAUGGCCGAAGCAAAAGUGUUAAGUAGGCCGCCUGGGGAGUACGGUCGCAAGGCUAAAACUCAAAGGAAUUGACGGGGGCUCACACAAGCGGUGGAGCAUGUGGAUUAAUUCGAAGCAACGCGCAGAACCUUACCUAGGUUUGACAUGCUUGGAUGCCUUACUGGAAACAGUGGAGGUUGCCCGCAAGGGUGAAACUUGCACAGGUGC
This 254-nucleotide ribosomal RNA is filed under the name uncultured bacterium. RNAcentral describes it as "partial 16S ribosomal RNA". It matches the Rfam family "Bacterial small subunit ribosomal RNA", at positions 796 to 1041 of the family's 1533-position model. The record is from RNAcentral.